Long non-coding RNA from Onychostoma macrolepis, 1577 nucleotides. RefSeq lists it as uncharacterized. The record is from RefSeq and is a predicted model, not a curated record. Lineage: Eukaryota; Metazoa; Chordata; Actinopteri; Cypriniformes; Cyprinidae. The transcript is spliced from 3 exons.
CUUGUCGAGAGCGAGGGGGAUGUUGUGGCGUCGGGAGGAAGUUUUGACAUGUUGUUGUUGUGAGGGCUCCAUGGUGAGAGCAAUCAGCUCACGGAAACUUUGAGCGUGGGUGAGAAGUUUGGCUGGAAUUCCAGUGCAGGAAAUCCAUCAUCCAUUUGAAUGACUCCAGAGGCAGUCUGUGACCCGGUUUAAAUGGAUGGCAGCAUCUGAGUUUCUGCUCUUCACGCUCAACACUUUGGAGACUGAUUGGACAUCCUCCACACUUAAUGGUCGCCGGCGGUCCAUUCAUACAAGGUGUUUCCGUGAAUGGCUUUUUGGAAGAAUCCCAUCAGGAAAAUCCAAAACAAGGCACAUUGUGUGGCGGCCCCUUGUGGCCGGUGUAAUUUGAACGGACAGCGACGUGAAUGAGGUCCAUUCUGCCGUAGCCGCUUUCAUUUGGCCAUGAUGAAUAGCGCUCUGUGCCACAGGAGAGCGGUCACUCACACUGAGGAUCAUGGCCGGCUGGCAGAGGGCUUUUCGUGCCGUUACAGGUUAUUAAUCGGCGGGUCGCUUCCCUCUGGUGCUUCUUGCCAGAGAUGGAGGACUUGACACGGCCAGAGGUGCCAUGCUGGAGGAGGGUAUCGCAGUCUGGGAGCUGGGCCUUCACAUUCAGCCCAGAACAAAAGGCUUUCUUGUGAUAGAUUGGCAGAGCUUUUCUCUACGCCUCUGCCUCCACAGGCCUCUUCUGCCCAUUUCUUUAGUAAUGCUCUUGUUAGUGCACCGCAGUUUCCUGACCGCUGGUUUCAUUUCUGGUUGUGGAAAAAAGCUGUCACUGUUAGGCAAGAGCACAGCACUAUUUAAGAGUGAUUCAUUUGAUGUCUUGUUGUGCUUUUUCAAGGUGAUAUGUGGUUUUGAUGUGUAUUUUUAAGCUCUAAUAUGACUAGUGACUGGCUUUAUGCUUCUUGGUUACACUAUUGUUCUUUUAUUUAUUUAUUUAUUUAUUAAGAAAUUCCUUGCCAAUUUAAAGAAAAUUCAAUUUGGCAAGGAUCAAUUAAACUGAUUAAAAGUGACUGUAAAGACUCUUACAGUGUUACAAAAAGUAUCAUUGACGAAACUGAAAAUUUAAAUAUAUUAAAUAAAUAUAUUAAUUUUUAAAUAUAUUAAAAUAAAAAAAACUGUUAUUUUAAGAUGUAGUAAUAUUUCACAGUAUUACUGUUUUUAGUUUUGAUUUUGUAUUUUUGAUCAAAUAAAGAAAUGUAAUAAUAGUUUAAUAAAUAUUUAUUUGUUGUUUUCUACUCUGUUACUGUUCACAGGGAAUGGCAGCAUUGUGGUUUAAAAUGUAAUUUCAUAUUAAUUUAAUAUUUAAUUUAUUUUUAAUGCACAAUAUAUUUUACUAAAUCUUUUGAUAUUAGACUUUAUUUUAUCAGUAUCGGUCAAUUUAAUUGUUUAUGCUCUAUUUUUGUGCUCUAUUUUUACAUUUAUAUGUAUUGUAUUAUUACAAUAGUAUUAUUGUACAGUCUAAUUUUGUUUAAAUGAAACAUUCCCUUUUAAUAAUUAAAAUGAUUGGUUUUUAGUGUUUUAAUUUAUUUAGUCAAAUA